This 8971-nucleotide long non-coding RNA is filed under the name Triticum aestivum (bread wheat). RNAcentral's name for it is "long non-coding RNA (TAES_LNC023132)". Lineage: Eukaryota; Viridiplantae; Streptophyta; Magnoliopsida; Poales; Poaceae. The record is from RNAcentral.
UUUUUGGUCCGGGGCGGUAAUACCGCUUAGGAGCCACGGUAGUACUGCUCUGGAGCAGUAGUACCGCUCAGGAGCCGCGGUAGUACCGCUCUAGAGCGGUAGUAAAAAAUUACAUCCGCUCUAGUCGCGGUAGUACCGCUGCAGCCUUCACCAAAACAGCCACAACUUUUGCAAACGGACUCCGAAUUCGAUGAAACCAAGUUUGUUGGAAAGCUAGCGACAAGGGCUAACACAAUCUUGAAAGAAAUACCAAUAAUAAGCAAAUGAGAAAAGGCCCAAAAAAAUGGUGAGAACCCUUCCUCGGAGAAGACCGGUAAAACCUCCAACACCGAAAACAUCAUAGAAGACGGAUGCAAACUCCGUUUUCGAUGAACUCAAGCUUGUCAUAAAUAUGACCAUAAGCUCUAAGACUCACAAAGAGAAUAAAACAAGAACCAAGAAACAUGAUGCAAGGAUGCAAUGGUUUGAGCUCUUGACGAACGAUACGAUCGAGCUACUCACUUGAGAGCCCCCCUUGAUAGUACGGCUAUCGAUCCUAUAACCCGGUCUCCCAACUACCACCAUGAGACCGGUAAAAUAGAAAACCUAUCAAGGGCAAACCUUUGCCUUGCACAUGGUCCACUUGAGCUAGAUGAUGACGAUCUUGACUCCCUCAAGUUGGACCACCUUUCUUGAUUGCAUUGGCUCGAUGAAGACUAGAUGAUUGCUCACCCAUAGUCCACUAUGGGUGAGCGACUCUUCGGCACAUCUUCACAAGUCCAUUGACACCACAAUGGAUGGCAAGAUUCAAACUUGAUUGCUCCCCCAUACUCCAUUAUGGGUGAGCCACUCUUUGUGUUGAUCCACUUAAACUUGCACACUGCAAACUUGAUGACGAUCACCACUUGAUGUCAUCCUCCAUGGGUUGUAUGGGAUCUUUCUCUUGACGCAAGACCAUGGAAACAUACCUAACCCCACAAAGAACUGUCACGUAGACCUUGGGUUAGUACACAAAGCGUAAUGGACAAUGCUUACCAUACCAUGGGAACACUUGGUCCCACUCGGUACAUCUUCUAUGCUUUGUGAGUUGAUCAACUUGAUUCACUCUUGACUUAGUCUUGAUCAACCUUGAAUCUUUCCAACUCUCUUCAUUUGGAUGAUGUCUUGAAGGUAAAUAUGAAUGAUCACACAAUCUUCUUCUUCAAGACAUGCUUGCAAUAAGCUCAACACUCACAUGACCAGUCUUUGGAUAAUUCCUUAAUAGCACCUUGGUCAACCCAUAAACUCCUUGAAACCAACACAUGGACUUCAAGAAAUGCCUAUGGAAACAUCCUUCAAAUAUAACUCGAUGCAACCAUUAGUCCAUAGAGAAUGUCAUCAAUUACCAAAACCACACAUGGGGGCACCGCAUGUCCUUUCGAUCUCCCCCAUUUUGGUAACUGAUGACAAUCGCUUUCAAGAGAGUUUAUAUAAGGAAUUAUGCAUCACAAUGCAAUGCAACAACCAAUGAUGCAGGAGAAUGAGAUGCAAAUGCUUAGGACCAAAACCAAAGCAAGGAGAAAACUCAGAAGACUUCUCCACAAAACUCUCUGAAACUCCUCCCCCAUUGGCAUCGAUUGCCAAAAUGGGUGAAAAGCUAAGAAGGCCAAAAUAAAAGGUGUUCCUCCAUAAAUUGUGUAUUUCUCAACAAGAGAGUGGAACGCAAUACACAUAUCCAACUGCCAAUACUUGGAGGAAGACAAACUAUAUUGAGGCCCAAAGAUUGCAACAAAAAGAUAUGACACAAAGACAUAACAAAGAGAGACACAAGCAAUCAGAAGAUACCAAUUGAAGCAAGCAAUCAACGGAUAUCAAUUGAACCAACUAGACCAAUGAUCCUACAUGCCACAAGAAUAAAGAUAUUAUGAUAAACGCAAAGGAGUGUUCUAAAGAAACUAGAGAAGCUCCCCAUGAUUUGUGCACACAUAAGAAUUUUUGUAUUUGAAUACAAAGUGCACAAAAUAGGAUCAUAGCUCCCCCAAAAUCAAUAGAAACUCACAUACAGUGCAAGUGAGCAUAUAGGAAACAAAGCCUAGCGCUUGCAACAAGCACAUGGUUGAGCAACAUGUAAAAGAGGCAACUUAAGAAUAGGCUCAACCAAAAUGAUGUGUGUGAGUCAUGGCGAAGCACUUGAGAGGACUAAAAUUAGGAUGAGAAUUAAGCAUCAACAUAGUCUUGAAAUAAUGAGGCACACGGUGCAAGGCCUAUCAUUCCCACACACACAACUAGCAAAUGGGUUCACAAGCUUACUAAUAAGCAUAUAAAGAACUUAUGCUUGUGACAACCCGUGGUGAAGAUAGAAGAUGAAAGCCUCAUCAAGACGAGGGAUGCCAAUUAAGAUGGCAAAAGCCUUGUAAAGAUAAGCAUGAGGAAAAUAAUCUUCACCACACAAGAGUGCAUCAAGAUGCAACGAUAGAGGACACGCACUCAAGGCAAAAGCUUUCACGGAGCCACCAAAGAAAUAACAUAAGAAAGACAAGGUGGACGUGAAAGAAAGGAUAUCAACUAGAGAUGUAAUUUCUCUCAAGUGUAUAAGGUUCUAUGUAGACGAAAUCAUGAUGAUAUAUAUAUAUCUACAAAGAAGGAUGUACACCCGAAAUAGUUACACCACGAAGGAACAAGAUAUCCACAAGGAAGUCAUAAUAUACCAAUAAGAUAUUUGCUUGAAAGCAUAGCACUUGGCUAGAUAUGGUCUUAUUGUAUAUAAAUGAAGUCCAAACACACAUCCAUCAAGGGCAUCACAACUAGCAACAGAGAUCAUCGUUGGGAUGCUUUGAGAAAGGAAACAAGUAUCACAAGAUAUGAAAUGAAUAUCAUGCCAAGAUACAGCCUACACAAGGUUGAAUGCAAGAGAGGAAAGCAUGAAUAGAUACUUGUUACCGAGAUAUCAUUGGAAGGAUGUAGUAGAUACCAAUUGAAGGUAGAUAGUAGUUCAUUGAUCAUCCUAGCUUAACUCCAAUAUGCACAUGGUGACAACACCUUCCUUGUGAGUGAGCCGAGCAUCCAAUGCAUCUCCAAAUGUUCCUAGAAGAACAACACAAACUAAACGGUACCCAAACUCAUCGGGACCAAAUAGUUAGAAACACCAAUACAUAGGACAAACUCCACAUAAAUAUGUGCAUAUAGAUAUGAAAAUGAAUUUCAUGCACAUCUCAUCCAAAUUGAGACUAGGUGGAGUUUCCCCUAUAUAUUGAGUCAAAGAAAGAAAGCAUGCCAAAUGAAAUACAUGAAGUAAACAUGCAUGCUCAAGACUUUCAAAACCCGAAACCAAAAGACGAAGAAAUUCCAAGUGAAAAGGAUACUAAAUGGAGAAAUCAUCACUUGGAAGAUAUCAUUAAAUAUACAUCAAGGAAUGAGAUAUCCAUUGAUACACACUAAACUAAAGAUGUCAAACUCCCAAAGAGAGGAUGGUUCCAAACAAACCAAGCCCUCAACAAAGUUUCAUGAUGGCACAAAGUACCAAAAAGAAAUGGCUUGCCUUCCACCAAAACACACUUGAUAAGGAUCACAAGAAGAGUGUUCUGAAGAAAAUAGAAUAGCUCCCCCACGAGUUGUGCAUUAUACAUGAUUUGUAUUUGAAUACAAAAUGCACAAGGUGGGAUCACCGCUUUCACUAUAUCUAGAAAACACUAGACAGGAACAAGAAAUAAACAAGAUCCACAAGUGGUAUGGAAGACAACGGGAGUUGACACAAUCCUUGGCAAGAGAAGAGGCAAGUAAAACAAAAGCCAAUGUAAAGAUGAUCAAUAAAUUCUACCACAGAUAAGUGACUACCAAUUGUCAAAAGACAAUAAGUAGAUGGAAAGAAUUCCCGGUGGUAGAUAGCAAGGAUAUCCAACAUCAUCUUCACACCACACACAAGCAGAUUGCAACUUGUAGAGCUAACAUGCCACCUAGGAACAAGAUAAUCUACAAUAUCAACACUAGGUGACAAUAUCUCAAAUGUACACAUUUUCUAGGCUAGUAAUAUGCAUAGUAUAUUACUCCCCCAUAAUGUGAUACCAAUGAAGAAAACUUAACAAGAGGCAAUAAGAGGAUCCAACAAGAGAUAAUUAAUGGACAAUUUAGAAUUUGAAUUUCUCAUGAGAAGACAUACCACAUAGUGACUAGAUAAUCUUGUAAUAUCAAUACUAGAUGGUAUUCCUCAUGUACACACACUUAUAGGAGUGUGAGGUGCACAAAGCACAUCACUCCCCAAUAAUGGGAUAUUCCAUUAAUCUCUCACAAGAGCCAACUAAGAUACAAAGAAGAUGCACAAAGGCUCAACACACAACUCACACGUACAUGAAGUGCACACCAACAUACAUAAGCAAGUUGGAAGCGCAACAUAUACAAACACAUGCAAGGAACAAAACCAAAACAUGCAAGGGGGCAACUAACUUUCAAAGUAAACAAUUUAAGUACAAGUUACCGCAAGGAGGCACAUUGGAUAUAAGAUAGAAAUUUGAUAAUCCAAUUAACUUGGCUUGUGACAAAAAGAAUGAUGAAGUCCCCUUAAUUCUUCAUAAUGUAGCCAAGUCUCCAAUGCCCUCCAAAAACACCUAUUGAUCAAGUUUGAGCUUGUUGGUCCCCAACCAAGUUGGGUCCUAAGAGGUUAGUCACAAUAGGCUUGGCUACCCAAAUGGUUCUUUUCUUGACACCACUUUGAGUACCAACAAACUUGGCAAACACAUUGCCAACCUUAUCCUUCCCAAGAGAAUAGAUAUCAUCAAUAAUAAUUGGGUUGGAUAAGUUACCACUAGUGCAUGAAGAAGCGACGUGACCUUUAUCACGACAUAAGUAGCAACGUCUACCCUUCACUUUCUUCUCACUUGAUUUUUCCACAAGAGAAGCAUUAGCUUGAGUCUUCUUGGGAAGUGGCCUUACUUCAACUUGAGGUUGAGCAUGAGAUUGAACUUUUGCCCUCUUCCCUUGUUGCUUGACACUAAUGGCCUUCUUCUUCAAUGGGCAAGAUCUAACAUGAUGCCCUUCUACUUUGCACUUCAAGCAAACAAUCUUGGCCGAAUUCUUGACUUGUUAUUGGCCCUUAUUUUUGUUCAUGUUGGACUUCUUCUUCUUAUUGGAGUUGAAUCCAAGUGCACCUUUGUCAUUGGGGGAUUUUUGCACACUCAAGAUAUUGUUGAGUGCGGAUUUCCCUUCAUGACACUUUUUCAAGUCUUUCUUCAAAGAAGUGACUUGGGCCUUGAGCUCUUUGAUUUCCUCUACAUGGUUAGUCUCAACACAAGUACUAGAGGAAGUAUAAGCUUCAUCGUUAGAGCAACAAGGCAAGGAAAUCAAUUCAUCACAAGAUGUACCAACAUUGUGAGUAGAUGAAUUACAAGGACUAGCACAUGGCAAUAUACUAUUCUGACUAGAAGUAGUGCUAGUAUCCACAUGAGGCUCACUAGAUGUUACCUUAGCAAUCAUGGCCUCAUGAGCUAUCUUUAGCACACUAUGGGAUACUAGAAGAUCAUCAUGAGAGCUUGAGAGCUUUUCAUGACUUUCUUCCAAUUUCCCAUAAUUGCAAGAUAGCACCUCAAGUUGAGCCCGUAGCUCAACAUUCUCCUUCAAAAUGGAUGCUUCACAAGUAAUAGAAUUAGUAGCACAAGCAUCAUCAUUAACAACAAGAGGAGAAGGCAACUUGGCAUGCUCUUUUAAAUAAGAAGCUUCAAGUUGAGCAUGAGACUCGGUGAGUUUGAUGAGCUCACCCUUGAUGACCCUUGAGCCAUUUUCGAGGUGCUCAAAAUCCUCAAGGAGUCUAGCAUGAGCAACUUCAAGCUUAGCAUUUUUAGUUUCAAAAACAUUGGCCACCUCAAGGGCUCUAUCAGUAGAUUCCUUCACUCUAGACAAUUCUAGAGCAAAAGUCUCCUCAAGAGAUUCCUUGGUGGUUUGUUCAAGUUCAAGAGCUUGAGAGAGGUCCGCAAUCUCAUUAGCGUAAUCACGCCCAUGACCUUCCAUUUUAUCAAUGGUGACCUCAUGCUCCUCAAGACGAGAUUCCAACUCAUCAAUAUAUUUCUUGCUCUCAAUAGCAAUGGACAUAAUUUCCAUGAAGUUGGAACGAGCAAUUUUAUUUUUAUGAAGAGCUUUAAAAACCAUUUCCCCCUUAAUUUUUUAAGGAGGCAACAUUAUCAUUCUCUUCAUCAUUAUCCUCAUCAUCAUUAGCAUCAACAUCAUCAUAAAGAGACAUAUUGGGGUACAAAGUAGGAGAUACCUUUGACGCCUUAGCCAUAAGGCAAAACGCAAUAGAUGAUGAUGUAGGAUCCCUUGAGGCACCAUUAAACACCACAUCUUGUUCCAUGGAGUGUUCGGUUUCCUCUACAUUGUUAGCACAACAAUUCGAGGAAAUAGAUGCAUUUUUAUCAUGGCAACAAGACAUACCAAGCAUAUCAUCAUGAUAUUUAGUCAAGCAAUUUCUACAUGAUACGCAAGGACUAUUAAUACAAGCAUGUGAAACAUUUGGAGUGCUCGAAGUGUUAAAGCCCAAAGAGGGAGCAUUGCAAUAAUAUAGUGAUGAAGGAUCAUCCACAAUAAGCAUACUAUCAUCAUUGCAAUGACCAACACUACUCACCAUAUCAUUACCUUGUGGCAAACCACAUGUAGGUGAAGUAGAAGAAGUUGAGAAGACUAUAUGACCGGAGGUGGAGGGAGAACAACCAUCCCCACAAAUCUUGGACACACCAUAUUUAUCUUGAAGCUUUGUCCAUAACUCAUGAGCAUCCCGGAACGGCAUGAGUUGAAAUAUAACUACAUUGCUUAAAGCAUCGAAAAGCACAUUAGAGGCUUGAGCAUUGAGAUAAGAGUUUUUCUCAUCCUCUAAAGAUAAUCUUUGGGGAUCCUUUGGAGGAGAAAAACCCAUAUCUACAAUUCGCUCUAAAUUUGGGUCCAUGACCCUAAAGAGAUUAAGCAUGCGAAUUACCCAAACAUCAAAAUUUGUGCCAUCGAAACUAAGAAUGUCAGAGAAUCCUAAUCCUCUAGUCGACAUCUUUACUCUCUAGGCGUUUAAGCCCAACAAAGAGAGACGAGGCUCUGAUACCAAUUGAAAGAUCGAGGAUGUCGCCUAGAGGGGGGGGGGGUGAAUAGGCGCUUUAAAAUAAUUACGGUUUAGGCUUGAACAAAUGCGGAAUAAACCUAACGGUUAAUUUGUCAAGCACAAAACCUAAAACAACUAGGCUCACCUAUGUGCAGCAACAACUUAUGCUAAGCAAGAUAAGCAACUAUGUGAUAGCAAGAUAUAUGACAAAGAACAAUAUGGCUAUCACAAAGUAAAGUGCAUAAGUAAAGGGCUCGGGUAAGAGAUAACCGAGGCACGCGGAGACGAUGAUGUAUCCCGAAGUUCACACCCUUGCGGAUGAUAAUCUCCGUUUAGAGCGGUGUGGAGGCACAAUGCUCCCCAAGAAGCCACUGGGCCACCGUAAUCUCCUCACGCCCUCGCACAAUGCAAGAUGCCAUGAUUCCACUAAGGGACCCUUGAGGGCGGUCACCGAACCCGUACAAAUGGCAACCCUUGGGGGCGGUCGCCAAACCCGUACACUUUGGCAACCCUUGGGGGCGGUCACCGGAACCCGUCAAGAUGCUCGGGGCGAUCUCCACAACCUAAUUGGAGACCCCGACGCUUGGCCGGAGCUUUACACCACAAUGAUUGAGCUCCGAACACCACCAACCGUCUAGGGCGCCCAAGCACCCAAGAGGAACAAGCUCAAAGGCACCAAGCACCCAAGAGUAAUAAGCUUCUCAAACUUCACUUCCACGUAUCACCGUGGAGAACUCAAACUGAUGCACCAAAUGCAAUGGCAAGGGCACACGGAGUGCCCAAGUCCUUCUCUCUCAAAUCCCACCGAAGCAACUAAUGCUAGGGAGGAAAAUCAGAGGAAGAACAAGAAGGAGAACACCAAGAACUCCAAGAUCAAGAUCCAAGGGGUUCCCCUCACAUAGAGGAGAAAGUGAUUGGUGGAAAUGUGGAAAUAGAUCUCCUCUCUCUUUUCCCUCAAAAACUAGCAAGAAUCCAUGGAGGGAUUGAGAGUUAGCAAGCUCGAAGAAGGUCAACAAUGGGGGAAGAACACGAGCUCAAAGGAUAAGGUUCAAUGGGGAAGAAUACCCCCUUUUAUAGGACCUCCCGAAUCCAACUGUUAUGUGCUCAGGUCGUGCACAAGCGGUACUACCGCUUGGAGGAGCGGUACUACCGCUUAGCACGCUCAAAACAGCCCAAACGAGAGAGAAAACACGAGUUUUUGGUCCGGGGCGGUACUACCGCUUAGGAGCCACGGUAGUACUUCUCUGGAGCAGUAGUACCGCUCAGGAGCCGCGGUAGUACCGCUCUAGAGCGGUAGUAAAAAAUUACAUCCGCUCUAGUCACGGUAGUACCGCUGCAGCCUUCACCAAAACAGCCACAACUUUUGCAAACGGACUCCGAAUUCGAUGAAACCAAGUUUGUUGGAAAGCUAGCGACAAGGGCUAACACAAUCUUGAAAGAAAUAACAAUAAUAAGCAAAUGAGAAAAGACCCAAAAGAAAAUGGUGAGAACCCUUCCUCGGAGAAGACCGAUAAAACCUCCAACACCGAAAACAUCAUAGAAGACGCAUGCAAACUCCAUUUUCGAUGAACUCAAGCUUGUCAUAAAGACGACCAUAAGCUCUAAGACUCACAAAGAGAAUCAAACAAGAACCAAGAAACAUGAUGCAAGGAUGCAAUGGUUUGAGCUCUCGAUGAACGAUACGAUCGAGCUACUCACUUGAGUGCCCCCCUUGAUAGUACGGCUAUCGAUCCUAUAACCCAGUCUCCCAACUACCACCAUGAGACCGGUAAAAUAGAAAACCUAUCAAGGGCAAACCUUUGCCUUGCACAUGGUCCACUUGACCUAGAUGAUGACGAUCUUGACUUCCUCAAGUUGGACCACCUUUCUUGAUUGCAUUGGCUCGAUGAAGACUAGAUGAUUGCUCCCCCAUAGUCCACUAUGGGUGAGCGACUCUUCGGCACA